UGUGUGUGUGUGUGUUUUGCCUAGCUGGAAUAUUAAACCCUGUGAACCAAGGGACGAACUCCAUAGACCUGUCCACAAUCGUAGAGGACAACAUUGUGCGGGAACAUGUGCGAGUAACGACUCAAGUCAUGAACUGGUUGCAUAAGGUGGUGGAUGUUGGCAAAGGAAUUGCUAAUGGUGUGUGCCGAACUGUGAAAUUGAUCUGAGAGAGACGUCUGGAACUUAACCCCGAAAGCAGGAGCAGCAUCAGCAACAACAACAACACACACAUUACAUAUUAGCCAUAAAGUAACAAUGUAAAGCAAUUACUUAUUGAAUUGGUCAAAUCUUUUAACUGCAAAUGUAAAACCAAUGAAGUAGCUCAGAUGAAACGGCCAUUUUGUCCCAAGACUGGUGAGGCUGCCUGAGCUGGCGGAGAGAAUAAACACACACACAC
Molecule: long non-coding RNA, 436 nt
Organism: Clupea harengus (Atlantic herring)
Lineage: Eukaryota; Metazoa; Chordata; Actinopteri; Clupeiformes; Clupeidae
Source: RefSeq, a predicted model, not a curated record